GUGUCAGCAGCCGCGGUAAUACGGAGGAUGCAAGCGUUAUCCGGAAUCAUUGGGCGUAAAGAGUCCGUAGGUGGCACUUCAAGUCUGCUUUCAAAGACCGAAGCUCAACUUCGGAAAGGGAGUGGAAACUGAAGAGCUAGAGUAUAGUAGGGGUAGAGGGAAUUCCUAGUGUAGCGGUGAAAUGCGUAGAGAUUAGGAAGAACACCAGUGGCGAAGGCGCUCUACUGGGCAUAUACUGACACUGAGGGACGAAAGCUAGGGGAGCGAAAGGGAUUAGAUACCCCUGUAGUCCUAGCGGUAAACGAUGGAUACUAGGCGUAGUGCUGUUAGAAGGACUGUGCCGAAGCUAACGCGUUAAGUAUCCCGCCUGGGGAGUACGCACGCAAGUGUGAAACUUAAAGGAAUUGACGGGG
Molecule: ribosomal RNA, 413 nt
Filed under: uncultured prokaryote
Description: bacterial SSU rRNA
Rfam family: Bacterial small subunit ribosomal RNA
Source: RNAcentral